RNAcentral lists this long non-coding RNA (1480 nucleotides) under Oryctolagus cuniculus (rabbit). RNAcentral's name for it is "lncRNA (ENSOCUG00000035811.1)". Lineage: Eukaryota; Metazoa; Chordata; Mammalia; Lagomorpha; Leporidae. The record is from RNAcentral.
AAAUUGCUUACAAAUAUAGAGUGGGUAGCUGCAGAAGGAUUCUCUCAGACCCUGCAGGCCAAGCAAAGGAGCCGCCCGAGUGCACCCGGGGUCCAGGUCGUCUGACUUGAGCGCCCAGGACCCCUGGCUCCCUGCCGCAGCCCCCGGCCUGCCCGUUCUUCCUCUGAUCUUGUCCCCCCUCUUCCUGGAAUAUGUGGGUCACUCCAGGACGUACAUAGAGAGGUUUUCCCUGUCUGCCUGUUUGGAAGGGGCUGCCUCCUCCUCCGCACUAGGUCCUCCCCUCCGUGCCGCAGCUGCCCCCUAGCACCGGGAGUGAGAGGCGGCCAGCUGGGCUCUGCCCAGACGGUGGCUGAAGGCGCUGGCACUCACGAGGCACCGCAGAUCCCCUGGCGGCACCGCGCGCCUGCUUGGUGGGUCCCUCACCGCCGCUUGUGAUGCGGCUCCUCUGCUGUGGCUUUCAGCCCGACAGGCCUGCUUGCACAGUGCAGGAAUGCACGGGAAGUGACAGCCGAUCCUCCAAGUGAGGCGGCUGAAGUCCAGCCUCGUCAUCAUCUUUUCGUGGUAAAACAAAGCAGACUCGGUUCUUUCUGCACAGACAGCGUUUCGGCAGCUCCGUGUUUCCCUUCAGGAGUGGGGCAGCGGCUGUGGCUGAGUCAGCUCCCGGGCGGGGGACCCUGCCAUCGGGGUUUCUUCAGAGCUCUGAUACCAGUGUGUGACUUCACGGUGGAGAUGAAGCCGAGAGGACGCCAACGCGCCCAGGUCUCAGGCAAGGGCACCACGAUGUCGUCCCACCCGGCCCCUGGAAAAAAAUUGAAAAGCAGCAGAGCCAGACCAUCUCCGUUUUCACCACAGUAGCCGGGCUUGGUGUUUGAAUGACGCCUUUCCACUCUCAUGUCCACACCCGCCCAUGGAGGACGCUGGUCACCUGCAGUCGCUGUGCCCAGUCCAGACGCACGAUCCCAUGGCCGAGCAGUGCUGGAGUGUUCCCACAGGUUCACCUAGCGUUAGAAGAAGUGCCAAGAUCGACUAGUGAUGUCUGCUGUGGGCGAGGAAGAUGCAGGUGAGGAAGAUACUGUUCCCAUGCUAAACCCUCAUCGGUUCCUAGCGGAGCCAACUUCACCCACGUGUGUUCUGUUAUUCUGGAUUUAGGCCAUUGUUGUUUAAUAGUUAUUAACUUUAGAAGAUUUUUGUCUUGAUCACUCAAUAACAAAAACAAAGAAAAAAUGGAGAUUGCAUUUAUCUUCAAAAAACAUCCUUGUUCUUUUCUGGAAACAAGUGGGUGUCUCACAGGAAGGCAGUCAGUGCGCCCUGUUUCCAUGGCCACAGCACUUGGGCAGCCAUCGACCUAAUGAGUAACGAGAGCAGUGUGAUGUCUGUUUUGUGCGCACUGCUGCUGUGUGGAAGGAAACCGCACUUCCAGCCGGACUUGCCCUGAGCGCACCCAGCCCUCCCUGCAGAGGCUGAGGGGGGGAAGAGGACG